Molecule: ribosomal RNA, 253 nt
Filed under: uncultured bacterium
Lineage: Bacteria
Description: partial 16S ribosomal RNA
Rfam family: Bacterial small subunit ribosomal RNA
Source: RNAcentral
UACGGAGGUGGCAAGCGUUGUUCGGAAUUACUGGGCGUAAAGGGCGCGUAGGCGGCUUUGCAAGUCAGAUGUGAAAGCCCCGGGCUCAACUCGGGAACUGCAUCUGAAACUGCUUAGCUUGAGUCCUGGAGGGGGUAGUGGAAUUCCCAGUGUAGCGGUGAAAUGCGUAGAUAUUGGGAGGAACACCGGUGGCGAAGGCGGCUACCUGGACAGUGACUGACGCUGAUGCGCGAAAGCUAGGGGAGCAAACGGG